UCCGUGUGCGUGUAUAUGCACACCGGGCUGUCUGCGCUUGUUUCGGGGUAACCCUUCCCCCGCCGCCCAGUUCCCUACUAAGCUACUACAGCCGUGUCCUGACAAGUCCGCUUAAAGGCAACACUGCUUAAUACCGAGAAGCACUUGAGCGGUAGGAUACAGCCGUCAAGCCUGUACAUCUAAGAGAUGAUUUUGGAAGUGCUAAGAAGAGGAAAAAUCACCUCCUGGCAUGUGUCCUACUUUGGCUAAACAUGGCAGCAGGCUCUUUUCCAUUGCUUACCUGGUGGUAGUGCUCUGCGAAGGGAUCCCCUCACCACAGGACUGUCUCCUGCUCAGCUCAGCAUGCAGUUGGCCCUUGCUGUUGCAGGUGCACGCUGCUGGCUCCUGCUCAGCUUGCUGCCCACUAUGACCCCCAGGACCUUUUCAGCUGAACUGCCAGCAACAACUGGUCCAUUCUCAGCCUGUAACACUGCAAGAGGGUCUGCUUCCCAUGUGCAGGACUUUACAUUUAUCUUUGCUGAAUUCGAUAAGGUUCCUGUUAGCCCCAUUCCUUCAGCGGGUCUGGGUCCCUCCACCCUCAACUGUAUCAACUGUUCCCCCCCUUCUUGGUGUCACCUGCAAACUUGAAGAAAGAGCACUUCAUCACCUCCUUCAGGUUAUUGUUAGAGGUGCUAAACAGGACAGAUAUGUAUGCAACAUUCGUGUUUCAAGAAUUCAAGUAGUUUGUUGGGUUUUUCUGGUUCUAAGACUCACAAAGUCUCUCUCCUAGCUGUUCUUAACUCUGACCAGCUGAAGUGAUUUGAACUAAGGUUAAAUUGAUGGGCUGUAUUAUAACACCAGAAAGUGUUUUUAUUUCACUGAAAAUGUUGUCUGAAUGAAGAUUGAAAGAUUGUGUGGUUCAUAAUAUUAGGCAGGCUUUCAACAAAGGGAUUUCAAGAAAAUCUCUGGUUCAGCAAAUGCAUAAAAGCAAGUCUUUUGAUUUUCAUAGCUGUACAGUGUGGUGCUGGCAGGGUGAGCUUGGUGUAUAAUUAUCAUUUCUAAGAAUGAAUUCUAUUAAAAUUGAAAUAAAAGAUCUUUGUGAGGAAAUAUGAGCUC
Long non-coding RNA from Harpia harpyja (harpy eagle), 1095 nucleotides. RefSeq lists it as uncharacterized. The transcript has 3 exons. The record is from RefSeq and is a predicted model, not a curated record. Lineage: Eukaryota; Metazoa; Chordata; Aves; Accipitriformes; Accipitridae.